AUUGAACGCUGGCGGCAUGCUUUACACAUGCAAGUCGAACGGUAACAGGCCUUCGGGUGCUGACGAGUGGCGAACGGGUGAGUAAUGCAUCGGAACGUGCCCAAUCGUGGGGGAUAACGUAGCGAAAGUUACGCUAAUACCGCAUAAGCCCUGAGGGGGAAAGUGGGGGACCGCAAGGCCUCACGCGAAUGGAGCGGCCGAUGUCAGAUUAGCUAGUUGGUGGGGUAAAGGCCCACCAAGGCGACGAUCUGUAGCGGGUCUGAGAGGAUGAUCCGCCACACUGGGACUGAGACACGGCCCAGACUCCUACGGGAGGCAGCAGUGGGGAAUUUUGGACAAUGGGCGCAAGCCUGAUCCAGCCAUGCCGCGUGAGUGAAGAAGGCC
RNAcentral lists this ribosomal RNA (384 nucleotides) under uncultured bacterium. RNAcentral's name for it is "bacterial SSU rRNA". It matches the Rfam family "Bacterial small subunit ribosomal RNA", at positions 29 to 416 of the family's 1533-position model. The record is from RNAcentral.